This 580-nucleotide ribosomal RNA is filed under the name Boletellus ananas. RNAcentral's name for it is "eukaryotic LSU rRNA". It matches the Rfam family "Eukaryotic large subunit ribosomal RNA", at positions 81 to 651 of the family's 3401-position model. Lineage: Eukaryota; Fungi; Basidiomycota; Agaricomycetes; Boletales; Boletaceae. The record is from RNAcentral.
UAGUAACUGCGAGUGAAGCGGGAAAAGCUCAAAUUUUGAAUCUGACGGUCGUAAAGGCCGUUCGAGUUGUAAUCUAGAGAAGCGUGUUCCGUGCUGGCCCGUGUACAAGUCUCCUGGAAGGGAGCGUCAUAGAGGGUGAGAAUCCCGUCUCUGACACGGACCACCAGUGCCAUGUGAUGCGCUCUCGACGAGUCGAGUUGUUUGGGAAUGCAGCUCAAAAUGGGUGGUAAACUCCAUCUAAAGCUAAAUACUGGCGAGAGACCGAUAGCGAACAAGUACCGUGAGGGAAAGAUGAAAAGAACUUUGGAAAGAGAGUUAAACAGUACGUGAAAUUGCUGAAAGGGAAACGCUCGACGUCAGUCGCGUCGGCCAGGGAUCAACCUCGCGAGCGAUCGCUGGGUGCACUUCCUGGUCGACGGGUCAGCGUCAGUUUCGGUCGUCGUACAAGGGCGAGGGGAACGUGGCACUCUUCGGAGUGUGUUAUAGCCUUUCGUCGCAUGCGUCGGCAGGGACUGAGGAACUCGGCACGUCCUUCGGGACUCGUGUCUAGGAUGCUGGCAUAAUGGCGUCGAGCGACCCG